This 731-nucleotide ribosomal RNA is filed under the name Salmonella enterica subsp. enterica serovar Kentucky. RNAcentral describes it as "partial 23S ribosomal RNA". It matches the Rfam family "Bacterial large subunit ribosomal RNA", at positions 2212 to 2925 of the family's 2925-position model. Lineage: Bacteria; Pseudomonadati; Pseudomonadota; Gammaproteobacteria; Enterobacterales; Enterobacteriaceae. The record is from RNAcentral.
GUUUGAUGUUCUAACGUGGACCCGUAAUCCGGGUUGCGGACAGUGUCUGGUGGGUAGUUUGACUGGGGCGGUCUCCUCCUAAAGAGUAACGGAGGAGCACGAAGGUUGGCUAAUCCUGGUCGGACAUCAGGAGGUUAGUGCAAUGGCAUAAGCCAGCUUGACUGCGAGCGUGACGGCGCGAGCAGGUGCGAAAGCAGGUCAUAGUGAUCCGGUGGUUCUGAAUGGAAGGGCCAUCGCUCAACGGAUAAAAGGUACUCCGGGGAUAACAGGCUGAUACCGCCCAAGAGUUCAUAUCGACGGCGGUGUUUGGCACCUCGAUGUCGGCUCAUCACAUCCUGGGGCUGAAGUAGGUCCCAAGGGUAUGGCUGUUCGCCAUUUAAAGUGGUACGCGAGCUGGGUUUAGAACGUCGUGAGACAGUUCGGUCCCUAUCUGCCGUGGGCGCUGGAGAACUGAGGGGGGCUGCUCCUAGUACGAGAGGACCGGAGUGGACGCAUCACUGGUGUUCGGGUUGUCAUGCCAAUGGCACUGCCCGGUAGCUAAAUGCGGAAGAGAUAAGUGCUGAAAGCAUCUAAGCACGAAACUUGCCCCGAGAUGAGUUCUCCCUGAGACUUUAGGUCUCCUGAAGGAACGUUGAAGACGACGACGUUGAUAGGCCGGGUGUGUAAGCGCAGCGAUGCGUUGAGCUAACCGGUACUAAUGAACCGUGAGGCUUAACCUUACAACGCCGAAG